Long non-coding RNA from Rhincodon typus (whale shark), 1469 nucleotides. RefSeq lists it as uncharacterized. NCBI's taxonomy places the organism in Eukaryota, Metazoa, Chordata, Chondrichthyes, Orectolobiformes, Rhincodontidae. The transcript has 3 exons. The record is from RefSeq and is a predicted model, not a curated record.
CAACUAUUUUUAUUUUCAGAUAUGUUCUCAGGGUGACUAAAAGUUACCCAGUCAAUAUGGUGCACGUAUGGCACAUCUUGGACGUAGCAAUUUGCAUUCCAAAAUUCUGAAGUGUCCUAUUUUUAAAGAAAAACUUCAGAAUUUACCUUUGCGAAGCAUUCAGAGCCUCAUGUAUAAGCAGCCGUGGUAUUAAAGUGCUGUAAUACCAUUAUAACUUCAUUGAUACUGAGAUAUAUUGACCUAUUUCUGUGGAUGGAAAAGACUGAAGCUAUGGAGAAUACUAAGACAACAGACAGUUUCAUCUUCAGUGGAUGUCAGGACAGUUCCUACUAAGAAAACUGUUUCUUGUGAAAGCCUUUGCCACUAAUUUUAUCUGUAAUGAAAUGUACUUACCAAAGUACUUUUACUUUCUGGAUGAAAGUGAAAUAGAAUGAAGUAUAGGGAAGGCAAAAACUAUCUAUGUAGUAACAAAUGUGGUUUGGCGAGAUAUAGUUUUGUCUAAACUGGAAUCAAUAUUCGUAAAUAUCUAAGUUGUAACUUCACAAAAUAUCUAUAUGAAUUUCAGGUCCAUUUGUCACUUGAUCCGAGUGACAGUUUAGUAGCACUAAUAGGAAAGUACUCACAUGUAUGAUAAUGUGGUUAAGAAAAUAUCAUUAUCCUGGAAUAUUAUAAUUUAAUUUUAUGGUAUAGGAGGGUUAUUGAAAUCGUAGUGAUUCUUACUUGAUUAUUCGUCCGAUUGCCUUGGUUUGACAAAUUGUUCUCUGAUUGUCUUCUAUUCUGUGUCCUGUAAGAUAAAACAGUUAUGUACAUAAGAAACCCCAUAGCUAGUAAUGACUAGCCUCAGAUUUUGCAAUGUCAGCAAGGUCAUAUAGUUUUCCCAACUCUAAUUUUAAUCCUGAGUGAAUAAUAGAUUUUGUAAAUGUUUUAUCUUGUGAACACAUCCCCAGCUGCUAUGUGAACAGCAUUCAUUACUCUACAUAACUAGUUGCAAUAAAUCUCAUUCACACAAUCCUGCCAUCCUUGGUAUACAUGCUGAGCUUAGUUAGUAUCCAGUGUACAGUUAGGCAAGAGAAAGAUCACCCUGGGUUCCCACUCCUGAUUGCUAUCCAAUGAGUUCUAAUCACAAAUGCAGAAUUGGCCGUCUGGUGAAGUCAGGAUCAAGCUUGGCUUUUGGUGCCACAAAUGUAAAUGGCAUGCCACUGUUUGCUGUCUAAGUCCAUCCAUGAAGAAUAGUAAAUUAGGCAGCAAACUUGAAGGCUCAUAGAACCUUUAAUACCUUUUAGGAGACACCACCUUCAGGAUAGGUAGGGAGAAACCACACAGUAGAAAGUAUUUUAUUUUAAUUUCAAAUAGAAAAAAAAUCAAACUAAUCGAGAAACAAUAAAUAAGUAACUGCAUUUCUAAUGAAAACUCAAUGAAAGGUUGGAGAUGAACUCCAAUGUCACAUACGUUGCGUGUGGAGCUUUCCU